UUCGGUUGAAAAGUAAAUAACGAAAAACAGUAAAAACAAUAAAAACACCACAAAAUGUUGACGGAGAAAACCCAACUGGGUAAAAACUCCGGGCACAAGCCAGUAGAGAUUCACUAUCGAAGAUAUUGACUUACAGUACGCCAGACACAAUUGAAACUACCAAUUCUCUGACCUCCUUACUGUAUCAACCAAAGCUCUCCUGGAUUCUGCAGAUCUGUGCCAAAAUCCCAGCCUUGAAUAUCUUCAACCUCUCGUGAAUCACCAAGCACUCCUGCUCUUCAAGCAAUUUCCUUCCCGGAUCUUCAAACUGAUGAUCUUC
RNAcentral lists this long non-coding RNA (319 nucleotides) under Olea europaea (common olive). RNAcentral describes it as "long non-coding RNA (OEUR_LNC000387)". The record is from RNAcentral. Lineage: Eukaryota; Viridiplantae; Streptophyta; Magnoliopsida; Lamiales; Oleaceae.